CGGAAAAUAAUUUAAAAAGAAUGUUGGCUUUGGGGGUCAGUAGUGAGGGUUUGAGUCCUUCUUUUCCGA
This 69-nucleotide transfer RNA is filed under the name Rhinophrynus dorsalis (Mexican burrowing toad). RNAcentral describes it as "tRNA-Pro". It matches the Rfam family "tRNA". From Rfam's summary of the family: Transfer RNA (tRNA) molecules are approximately 80 nucleotides in length. Their secondary structure includes four short double-helical elements and three loops (D, anti-codon, and T loops). Further hydrogen bonds mediate the characteristic L-shaped molecular structure. tRNAs have two regions of fundamental functional importance: the anti-codon, which is responsible for specific mRNA codon recognition, and the 3' end, to which the tRNAs corresponding amino acid is attached (by aminoacyl-tRNA synthetases). tRNAs cope with the degeneracy of the genetic code in two manners: having more than one tRNA (with a specific anti-codon) for a particular amino acid; and 'wobble' base-pairing, i.e. permitting non-standard base-pairing at the 3rd anti-codon position. The record is from RNAcentral. Lineage: Eukaryota; Metazoa; Chordata; Amphibia; Anura; Rhinophrynidae.